AGCGAACGCUGGCGGCAGGCCUAACACAUGCAAGUCGAACGGACCCUUCGGGGUUAGUGGCGGACGGGUGAGUAACACGUGGGAACGUGCCUUUAGGUUCGGAAUAGCUCCUGGAAACGGGUGGUAAUGCCGAAUGUGCCCUUCGGGGGAAAGAUUUAUCGCCUUUAGAGCGGCCCGCGUCUGAUUAGCUAGUUGGUGGGGUAAUGGCCCACCAAGGCUACGAUCAGUAGCUGGUCUGAGAGGAUGACCAGCCACAUUGGGACUGAGACACGGCCCAAACUCCUACGGGAGGCAGCAGUGGGGAAUCUUGCGCAAUGGGCGAAAGCCUGACGCAGCCAUGCCGCGUGUAUGAUGAAGGUCUUAGGAUUGUAAAAUACUUUCUACCGGUGAAGAUAAUGACUGUAGCCGGAGAAGAAGCCCGGCUAACUUACGUGCCAGCAGCCGCGGUAA
RNAcentral lists this ribosomal RNA (450 nucleotides) under uncultured bacterium. RNAcentral's name for it is "bacterial SSU rRNA". It matches the Rfam family "Bacterial small subunit ribosomal RNA", at positions 29 to 523 of the family's 1533-position model. The record is from RNAcentral.